This 371-nucleotide ribosomal RNA is filed under the name uncultured Anoxybacillus sp. RNAcentral's name for it is "bacterial SSU rRNA". It matches the Rfam family "Bacterial small subunit ribosomal RNA", at positions 1013 to 1382 of the family's 1533-position model. The record is from RNAcentral. Lineage: Bacteria; Bacillati; Bacillota; Bacilli; Caryophanales; Anoxybacillaceae.
UUCCCCUUCGGGGGGACAGGGUGACAGGUGGUGCAUGGUUGUCGUCAGCUCGUGUCGCGAGAUGUUGGGUUAAGUCCCGCAACGAGCGCAACCCUCGACCUUAGUUGCCAGCAUUCAGUUGGGCACUCUAAGGUGACUGCCGGCUAAAAGUCGGAGGAAGGUGGGGAUGACGUCAAAUCAUCAUGCCCCUUAUGACCUGGGCUACACACGUGCUACAAUGGGCGGUACAAAGGGUCGCGAACCCGCGAGGGGGGAGCCAAUCCCAAAAAGCCGCUCUCAGUUCGGAUUGCAGGCUGCAACUCGCCUGCAUGAAGCCGGAAUCGCUAGUAAUCGCGGAUCAGCAUGCCGCGGUGAAUACGUUCCCGGGCCUU